Non-coding RNA from Schistosoma rodhaini, 46 nucleotides. NCBI's taxonomy places the organism in Eukaryota, Metazoa, Platyhelminthes, Trematoda, Strigeidida, Schistosomatidae. The record is from Rfam.
GCACUGCUGAGGAGUCCCAUAAUAGGACGAAACAGUCGUCCAGUGC